This 336-nucleotide unclassified non-coding RNA is filed under the name soil metagenome. Its description in RNAcentral is "partial contains 5.8S ribosomal RNA, internal transcribed spacer 2, and large subunit ribosomal RNA". The stretch from base 1 to 120 matches the Rfam family "5.8S ribosomal RNA", at positions 35 to 154 of the family's 154-position model. The record is from RNAcentral.
GAUGAAGAACGUAGCGAAAUGCGAUAAGUAAUGUGAAUUGUAGAAUUCAGUGAAUCAUCGAAUCUUUGAACGCACAUUGCGCCCGCCAGUAUUCUGGCGGGCAUGCCUGUUCGAGCGUCAUUUCAACCAUCAAGCCCCAGGCUUGUGUUGGGGACCUGCGGCUGCCGCAGGCCCUGAAAACCAGUGGCGGGCUCGCUGUCACACCGGGCGUAGUAGAUUUUAUCUCGCUCUGGGCGUGCUGCGGGUUCCGGCCGUUAAAAAACCCUUUUAACCCAAGGUUGACCUCGGAUCAGGUAGGAAUACCCGCUGAACUUAAGCAUAUCAAUAAGCGGAGGA